This 855-nucleotide ribosomal RNA is filed under the name uncultured Cytophagales bacterium. RNAcentral describes it as "bacterial SSU rRNA". It matches the Rfam family "Bacterial small subunit ribosomal RNA", at positions 524 to 1382 of the family's 1533-position model. The record is from RNAcentral. Lineage: Bacteria; Pseudomonadati; Bacteroidota; Sphingobacteriia; Sphingobacteriales.
UACGGAGGAUGCGAGCGUUAUCCGGAUUUAUUGGGUUUAAAGGGUGCGUAGGUGGUUUGAUAAGUCAGCGGUGAAAUCCUGGAGCUUAACUCCGGAACUGCCGUUGAAACUGUCGGACUUGAGAGUGAACGAGGCAGGCGGAAUUCGUAGUGUAGCGGUGAAAUGCAUAGAUAUUACGAAGAACCCCGAUAGCGCAGGCAGCUUGCCAGGCCACGACUGACACUGAAGCACGAAAGUGUGGGUAUCAAACAGGAUUAGAUACCCUGGUAGUCCACACAGUAAACGAUGAAUACUAACUGUUUGCGAUAUACAGUAAGCGGUACAGCGAAAGCGUUAAGUAUUCCACCUGGGGAGUACGCCGGCAACGGUGAAACUCAAAGGAAUUGACGGGGGCCCGCACAAGCGGAGGAACAUGUGGUUUAAUUCGAUGAUACGCGAGGAACCUUACCCGGGCUCGAACGGUAUCUGAAUGAUUGUGAAAGCAGUCAGGCCGCAAGGACAGAUAUCGAGGUGCUGCAUGGUUGUCGUCAGCUCGUGCCGUGAGGUGUCGGCUUAAGUGCCAUAACGAGCGCAACCCUUAUCUUUAGUUACCAUCAGGUCAAGCUGGGGACUCUAGAGAGACUGCCGCCGUAAGGUGUGAGGAAGGUGGGGAUGACGUCAAAUCAGCACGGCCCUUACGUCCGGGGCGACACACGUGUUACAAUGGAUGGGACAGAAGGCAGCUACCAGGCGACUGGAUGCUAAUCCCCAAACCCAUUCCCAGUUCGGAUCGGAGUCUGCAACUCGACUCCGUGAAGCUGGAUUCGCUAGUAAUCGCGCAUCAGCCAUGGCGCGGUGAAUACGUUCCCGGGCCUU